GAUGAAGGACGCAGCGAAAUGCGAUACGUAGUGUGAAUUGCAGAAUUCAGUGAAUCAUCGAAUCUUUGAACGCACAUUGCACCUCUCGGUAUUCCGGGAGGUAUGCCUGUUCGAGCGUCAUUUGUACCCUCAAGCUCUGCUUGGUGUUGGGUGUUUGUUCCGCCUCUGUGUGUGAACUCGCCUCAAAACAAUUGGCAGCCGGCGUACUUGUUUCGGAGCGCAGCACAUUUUGCGAUCCAGAUCAACGUACAGCGGCAUCCAAGAAGCCUUAUUUAACGCUCUUGACCUCGGAUCAGGUAGGGAUACCCGCUGAACUUAAGCAUAUCAAUAAGCGGAG
Molecule: unclassified non-coding RNA, 337 nt
Filed under: soil metagenome
Description: partial contains 5.8S ribosomal RNA, internal transcribed spacer 2, and large subunit ribosomal RNA
Rfam family: 5.8S ribosomal RNA (bases 1-120)
Source: RNAcentral